This 251-nucleotide ribosomal RNA is filed under the name uncultured bacterium. Its description in RNAcentral is "partial 16S ribosomal RNA". It matches the Rfam family "Bacterial small subunit ribosomal RNA", at positions 524 to 776 of the family's 1533-position model. The record is from RNAcentral.
UACGGAGGGUGCGAGCGUUGUCCGGAAUCACUGGCGUAAAGGGCGCGUAGGCGGCCUGAUAAGUAGGGGUGAAAUCCUGCGGCUUAACCGCAGGGCUGCCUUCUAAACUGUCAGGCUAGAGCACAGUAGAGGCAGGUGGAAUUCCUGGUGUAGCGGUGAAAUGCGCAGAUAUCAGGAAGAACACCCGUGGCGAAGGCGGCUCUCUGGGACGGUACUGACGCUGAGACGCGAAAGCGUGGGGAGCGAACAGG